RNAcentral lists this long non-coding RNA (591 nucleotides) under Marmota monax (woodchuck). The record is from RNAcentral. Lineage: Eukaryota; Metazoa; Chordata; Mammalia; Rodentia; Sciuridae.
ACAAAAGUCCGGCCCGCUGGCGAGCAGCGCCGGGCCGCAAGUCUCCGCUCACUCGGGGCUCCCGCAACAAGUGGCCGCCGCGCCCUCCCCCGGGAAGCCGCGGGCGAGCAGGCGCGCCCGAAGGAGGCUGCGGAGCCGGGGAGUCAGGGCGCCCGCGCGGCUCAGCGCUCCUCGCAGGGGAUCGGGGCGGGCGCAUGGGGACCCCGCGGCGGCGGCGCGGCGAGCCUCGGGGCGGCCCCGGGGCGCGGGCUCUCGGCGACUCUGCUCCCGCCGGCCCCGAGCGCGGAUUCUAAGAGGGGAGGAGGCUGUCGCUGGCCGGGUCCGCCACAAUCAGGGUGCCAGGAGGGGACCGAGCGCCCCCUCCCUCCGGAGACCAGGAGCCGCCCCCCGCCGGAGAUCGGCCCCGGAGCGAGGGGCUAUGUGCAGCUAACGGUCCCGUCGGACAGGCUUUCCUCUGGCCCAAGGCGCAGGAGGUGCGCCCAGCUAUGCAGUGUCCGGGGAGACGGCGGGCAUGACGGCGACAGGAUGGGCGCGAACAAUGGCAAACAGUACGGCAGUGAGGGUGAGUGGGCCGCCUGUCUUCAGACUCCC